RNAcentral lists this long non-coding RNA (5741 nucleotides) under Gallus gallus (chicken). The record is from RNAcentral. Lineage: Eukaryota; Metazoa; Chordata; Aves; Galliformes; Phasianidae.
GGACAAGACAUGUCAAUAUUCUCAAAUAAUACAGAUCAACAGGAGAAACUCUGUAGAUGGUAACAGCUGGUACUUAGGAACUGAUAUCUGCACUAGCUGCACUACGGACAGCAUGUACUUCAAACUAAUUCUAGCCUGAGCUCCACUGCCUUUGAAGCAUAACUGAACUAAGUCUCCUUGUUUAUGUUUAUUUGAAAGGAAUCCACUUUCAACAACCGGAGAUUAGUCCAUGAUCUGAAAACUUGCUAAGUGUGGACAAUGAGGAGAUUAACUCCAAAGCCAGACAAAAGUAAAUCACAAAGGGACUCAAGGGAGGUGCCCAUCAAAACACUUGGCCCCUCAGCACACUCCAUCUCUGGGUCUGCUCCUAGCCUGUGAAAAUUUAACACCAGUCUUAAAUGAAUCUGUUGCACCAGUACCCAACCCACAGAAAAGAAACUCCAGCUGGAUCACCAGAAGAGAAUGAGGAUCUUUGCUUUAGCUUCUCAAGUACCUACCUUCUACUACUCUUGCUUAAAGAAAAAACAAGACUUAGACAAUCACUGGCUUAAAGUGGCUGGCAUCUUUCUGGUAAGAAAAUAUGCAUGCGGCUCAGCAAGAUGGUGGUUUUCAGCAUAGAAAAUACCAGGAGGUGGAUGAGCCAUGAGCCCUGCAUUGGUUUUAUGCACUAAGCAGAUUAACAAAAUUAUGGCUGUGCCUCAUUGGUCAUAUGCAGCAUAAUAUUUAUCACAUUCCUGGCUGAAGUUUGAAAUGUCUCUAGGUGAGAUUAAAUGAGACUAUCAAGGGCACAUUUUCAAGGCAAGAAAUGCACACUGACAAACUCAUUACCUUUAAUGGAAGCUGCACAAUUCAGGCUGUGUACUUCCUCCCUAAAGUUGUUUUAAAAUUAUUUUUCUCUUUUUUAUCUAGUUUUUAAUGGUAAGGUCCCUACAUGCAUAUGAGAAACUCAUGAUAAAGACUCUCAAGUCAAUUUCCAUGUAUCUGGAUAAUUGUUGGAUGCAUUUUCCAGUUCUACCUUUGAAAAGUUGACUUUUUUUUUACUUACUUUUUCUAAAAGUCUAUCCAGUUAUCAGCUGUACAUGCAGAAAUGUUAUUAGUAACAUUAACAGCUCACUUUGCUAUGUCACAAGCCAUUGUUGCAAUGGGAUAUGUAGUUUAGCACCAUUCAUAUUGUGCUACAUGAUAAAACAUCUAAUUUAAUGUGUUAUGUCUAUUCUGUUUGUAUGCAACCAGUGGGAUACAAAUAUAUUUCCCUGAAGUGAUUGAUUUUUUUUCUUUUUAUGAACGUUUAUUGGAAAUCCUAAGACUUCAGAGGCUCUUCAGCUGAUGGCUGUGAGUCCUGAAGAUGAGUUUAAAAAUACAUUUUUUUCUUUCAAUUUGCAAAAGAGGCACUAAGAAUCAGAUCCCUUAAAAAAAAAAAAGGUAAAAAUGAGAUGCAAACUUAAGAGUGGUUGAUUAUGAGAAGUAAUUCCAUUUGAGACUUUGCAUAUGAUUGACAUAGUCUAUGCUUUGAUAAGAUUAAAAAAAUCUCCAGAGAUAAUUUCUCAUAAUGAAUCAUUUAUUAUGUAUAUCUCUUAAUUCUAGAGGGGUUAAGGAUGAGUGAGCAUGAAAGCCGGGGACAGAGUUUUUUUAUGCAGCCCAUAAACACUCCUUGCAGAUAUUUAUGUGUCCUCAAGUACUGCUGCAUGAAAUAGAGAAACCAAGGACAGAUACCACCUCUCCUCAACGAUGCUUGGUGUGCGAAAAAUUCUAGCUCAGUGAACCCUACCACAACCCCACUAACCAAGGUAGGAAAGAGUAGGGGAAGCACCAGUGGCACAGCUGCAGAGCAGAGAUAUAAGUUAAAGCAACCUUUCCUCUGUUCCACACAACACAACAAAAGGCAUAGAAUGGGAGGUACAGAGCAAAUAGACUGUAGCCCAUCUAUUUAUUAUAUCCACAUAUAUCCAUAGAGCCAAAGGGCAAGCACAUUGUGGAGGAUGUUAGGAACCACUAGUGGCUGUUGUACCCUCUGCCAUGCCAGAGGACACAUAUCUUUGGCUUACUGCACUGCCUUUUCUCACUACACUCAUAUUUGGUUUAGUAAUUCUAUUUUGUAGAGCUUUCCCUGGGGCAAAAAGUACCAAGAGGUAUUUUACAUCUAAAUAUGGCACAAUUUUUUUAAUAGCAUCAGCAAACUAAAAUUUUCUGUCCUUGAACCAACAAUGCAUUUGGCAUGUAUAUUUUAUUCUUGGUUUUCUUGCACAGAGUCUUAAAAUGGCAGUCUUCAACUGUUAUUUGGAGGGUGAUAAGCCAAAGCUCAAGCUGGUUUCAUGAGACAUAAAAGGAAGAUUUUGUAGCUAAACUGUUUGCAUACCUUCUUACAAACUGGCAUAUGAACAGUCAGCAGGUGUCCCUCCAGAACGACAGGCAUGAUGUACAGCUCUUAUAGCCAUACAAUGCUUACAAUCAUAAACACGGCAUGUUUUACAGGCUGCCUGAUGACUUAGAAAAAGAGCUAUCAUAAUGACUUCCCUGGCUCUAUAAUAGCUCCAUUUACAAUUAGUGUUAAGAGGCAACACAGUUCUGUUCUCUGCUGACACGGAUUUAGAUCUGACAGACUGGUGAACAAAAUAUUUCUGGAUGACCAUCUGCAGAAAUUCAUGUUCCCAUUCCACAGCAUUGGCUACUCAAAUCUGCUUGUUUUGGUGUUGGUGGAGAUUUUUUGUUGAUCAUUGGUUGGUUGGUUGGUUUUUUUUUUUUUUUUUUGGUUCUUACCUGUGCAGUUUGGCUGUAACACUCCUCUUAAACUUUCAGAUAAUUACUGUUAUUUUGGAUUGUAAUAGCCAUGAUAUUUAUUUAUUUAUUUUAAUAGUCAUCUUUUAUUAUCUGGGACUCGUAGUUGAAUCAAUUGAUUUUAUAAUGGAUUUUCUCACUUUCAUUAAUGGGAAAAAUGCCAGAACUUACUGCAGUAAUUAGGCACAGCUAAGGUGAAGGACUACAAGAAACUAAGCUGGGAGAUGUUGUAUUCACAGCCUAGCCCAGGCUGUAAGCCAAAGAUCAGGUUUCCAUUACUCUGACCUCAUGAAGCUUCAUCUGGAGUACUGAGUCUAGGCCUGGGGCCCCCAGCACAAGAAAGAUGUAUGGCUGUUUGAGCAGGUCCAGAGGAGGCCACAAAGAUGAUCAGAGGGGUGGAGCACCUCCCCUAUGACGAAAGGCUGAAGAAAUUGUGUUUGUUCAGCGUGGAGAAGAGAAGGCUACAUGGAGACCCCACUGCCACCUGCCAAUACUUGAAGGGAAAUUAUAAGCAGGAGAGGACCAACUUUUUACACAGACUGAUAGUGACAGGACAAGGGGGAAUUACUUUAAACUAAAAGAGGGGAAAUUCAGGUUACAUAUUAGGAAGAAAUUUUUUACUCCAGGGCUGAUGAGGUGCUGGCACAGGCUGCCCAGAGAAGCUGUGGAUGCUCCAUCCCUGGAGAUCUUCAAGGCCAGGUCAGAUGAGGCCCUGGGCAGCCUGAUCUAGUCGGGGACAGGGGAUUGGAACUCGGUGUGUUUAAGGUCCCUUCCAAUCCAUGCCAUUCUAUGAAUCUGUAAAUUUUUUGAAAAUAUAGAACAUAAUGAAUAGUAAUUUUCUGCUACUGGAACCAUUUUUCUUGGGUUUGGUCAUGGCUUCUGGAUAAGUAAACAGAAGCACAGGAGGUGCUUCCGUUGAGGCUUAUGACAUGCUACACAACUGCAGUUCCUGCACACCUGUGUGUGCUACAAAUUGCCUGGUAUAAAAAAACUAUCAACAGUACCUGUUUUCCCAAAACAUCUUGUAUGAAAGGUGUAUAAGACAGACAAAUGGUUUUGAAAGGCUCUGAUGUUCAAAAAAAAUGCAUUUAAAAAUAACAUCUACUUUCUUUGCUGCCCAGUAUUGAAAUUGAAUUGGUUGAUGCUAUUUACUCUUUCAUCAACUAUGUAUAAGGAACAUACGCUGUCCCUGUCCUCUUCUAUCUAAGGAUCAUGAGAUAUUUCCUAGACAAACAGAAGCCUUUACUGAAAUAUGUGCAAGAGCAUAAAAAUGAGAAGAAAUAUGCCAUCUUGCCAGAAAUUAGUGAAAGGAAAACAGGAAAUUGUUCUUAUUUAUCUUUCACUGUGUUUUAUUUGUGUGCUUGUUUCCCUGCUUGCUUUAUUAAUGCUAUGAGAUUCUUUUAAAAGGUUUCUCUCAACCUGCUCAUUAUCUAAAACAAACCAUAGAUUAAGUAACUAGUUUUAGUUUUAAAGUAACUAUUAACGUUACUUUAAAAAGAUUGGAAACUGGAAUUAUUCUAAUUUGAUGAGCAGGAAGUACAAUCUAAUAUGAAAAGAAGAGCAGAAAGACGUGUGUUUAACAUACCAAGAAGGUCAUCAAAUUAAAAGAAAACUAUUUUCCCUCUAAAAAUGAGAAUAAACAAACAAAGUGAAAGCAUUCAUGAAAUAAAUAUACUAAGCACACUACCGCUAGUGCAUAUACAGUUUUUUCCUAGCAUUAUGGAAGCUAUUACAAAUGGAUAGAAACAAUAGCAAGAAGAGUUGUAUAUGUAUUACGUGAGAUUGUGCCCUUAUGCGUACAUGCAUUUUACAAGACAUUUCAGAAGUCUUACGCCAAACAUUUAGUCACAUGAAAAGUAAGAACAACAUAUUUCAAAAUAACUAGUAGGAGGAGAGAAUACUCAUGUGGUGAUAUUUUUUAAUCCCUUUUUCUCACACUGACACAUCCAAAAAAUAGAAAGGAUCAGACAGGACUGAGAAACUUGUGUCAAAUUGCCAUCAAGAUUCAGUGUCUGGUCAUUGGGUAAGUCUGGAAAGCCACAGUCCAAAAUGUCUUAUUCUUUGUAGAUGCUCCAUCCCUGGAGGUGUUCAAGAUCAGGUUGGAUGGGGCCCUGGGCAACCCAGUCUAGUACCAGAUCUGGAGGUUGGUGGCCCUGCCUGUGGCAGAGGUGUUGGAACUUGAUGAUCCUUGGGGUCCCUUCCAACCCAAGCCAUUCUGCGAUUCUACGAUUCUCUGUGAGCUUGAGUUAGAUUCUUUGCUCUAGUGAUUUAAAGGGGUCUUAUAAUGAACAAAAAUCUGUCAAUUUGCAUCACUGAAACACAGGAGAAAGAAAGACAACAUGGUGAGCACAGGAAAAAAACAUCCUGUGCUGCUCAUUGUUGCCAAGGACAGAGCUCAGAAAAAGAGUCAGGAAUGAGAUGACCAUCCUCAGCAUUAGCCAUGGACACCACUUCCUACACACUCUUGUCUGCGCAGUCCCCUCUUCCUCUGAAUAAAUGUUCAAACUGAUCUUCAGCAUCUAAGAGAUCCUCUCCUGUAGCUUUUAAGCACAUUGAAUGCUGAAUGAUGUGUCCAAAGCUUCAAAGAGCCUCAUCAUGUAGGAACAGCUUAUGAGACUUUUGGGAUCUGUCACAAAAAAUUUGACACCCCAGGACUGAGAGCACUUGUGCAAGAUGGGAGAGAUAUUCAUAUGCACAUAAGAAUUGCCUUCAAAGAUUUGCAUGAAAUUAUUCAGAUACAGAAACCCUAGAUCCUUUACUUAAAAUAGCUUCUGGCACAGUUAUCUUUAGGGACUUUUCACCUUGUGGAUGUAAUUCCUUAAUUAAUUACUUCAUCUUCUGUCUACAAUCCUGCAAACCUCUUGGCAGAUGUUAUAAUACAGUUACAUAUUCAUGUGAUUCAAACUUUGUCUCAAGACAAAUAUGCUUUUUGUUAAUAACAAUACAGAUUAUAAUCACAAUUCUUU